This 492-nucleotide ribosomal RNA is filed under the name uncultured bacterium. Its description in RNAcentral is "partial 16S ribosomal RNA". It matches the Rfam family "Bacterial small subunit ribosomal RNA", at positions 28 to 507 of the family's 1533-position model. The record is from RNAcentral.
GAUGAACGCUAGCUACAGGCUUAACACAUGCAAGUCGAGGGGAAACGGCAUUGAGUGCUUGCACUCUUUGGACGUCGACCGGCGCACGGGUGAGUAACGCGUAUCCAACCUUCCCAUUACUGUGGGAUAACCUGCCGAAAGGCAGACUAAUACCGCAUAGUCUUCGAUGACGGCAUCAGAUUUGAAGUAAAGAUUUAUCGGUAAUGGAUGGGGAUGCGUCUGAUUAGCUUGUUGGCGGGGUAACGGCCCACCAAGGCUACGAUCAGUAGGGGUUCUGAGAGGAAGGUCCCCCACAUUGGAACUGAGACACGGUCCGAACUCCUACGGGAGGCAGCAGUGAGGAAUAUUGGUCAAUGGACGGAAGUCUGAACCAGCCAAGUAGCGUGCAGGAUGACGGCCCUAUGGGUUGUAAACUGCUUUUGUAUGGGGAUAAAGUUAGGGACGUGUCCCUAUUUGCAGGUACCAUACGAAUAAGGACCGGCUAAUUCCGUG